Long non-coding RNA from Vanessa tameamea, 574 nucleotides. RefSeq lists it as uncharacterized. Lineage: Eukaryota; Metazoa; Arthropoda; Insecta; Lepidoptera; Nymphalidae. The record is from RefSeq and is a predicted model, not a curated record. The transcript has 2 exons.
CAAACGAUACUCGAAAUUCGUCUAUAAUUAUAAUAGUGGUUACGAUCAAAAUGUAGAAGGUAACAAUUGAAAAAUAUACGUGUAAAUAACAACCGAGCAAAUGGCACCACUAUCUAUACGCACCACAUUGUAAAUGUUAUUAAAAUAUACUACAAAACGACUAACUACAUACCGAAACUAUGUAGGAGGAAUUUCAAAUGUAUCCUUGCGUCGAAUACAAUCGAUCUAUAAUGUAGGAGUAUACGUAUAAAAUACAGAUAAAAUAAAACACAGUAUCAAAAAUAACAUUUCACGGUAAAACAAAUUUAGGGGACAGCACACCGUUCCACACCGUUUCCAGCCCCUCACCGCGAGUGUGUCUGUGUAUGACUGUGUGCUAACCACUCUAUUCGAAUGUUGUCCGGCGAACUACUCGCAGUGGAAGCGUUAAAAUAAUCAUUUAUUAAAUUAAGAGUAUGUUGUAAAAUUAGUAAAACGUGUUCGAAUUCAAUAUUUACAAUUUUUAUAUGAUAUGCAAGUGCAAAGCUCACUAAAUAUAUCGUUACAUGAAUUUGUCUAUUGUCAAUAGUAUGAA